GCCUUCGUAGUGUAGUGGUCAGCCCGCUCGCCCCGUAUUCGAGAGGUUCGUGGUUCAAGUCCCGGCGAGGGCA
Molecule: non-coding RNA, 73 nt
Organism: Stegodyphus mimosarum
Lineage: Eukaryota; Metazoa; Arthropoda; Arachnida; Araneae; Eresidae
Source: Rfam